CAAGACUGACAGUGGCGAGACAUGAAGCGUACCAGACUACCAGUUGAAAGUAAAAGUGCAUAAAUGAUCUGGCGUUACCUUGCCUCCCUUCUGCCUUCUUCCAACUCUCAUCUUCACCAUUCUAUUAUUCUAUUUCGUGUACAAACGCCCAGACAAUCAGCUUAUUUGCAACCCUCGGCCCUCGCACAUCCAACCUAUAUCUUUCUCCUCGUUAUUCUCUCUAGUGAUAUGUAUCUGCAUAUUAUUUACUCGUGAAUGUGUUCUGUUCUGUGUUAACCUCAAGCUAAGAAGAUAGUGCUUUCAAAUAGUCCUGUUGAAUGUGGAUAUUUUUUUAUGUAUUAGCAAAGAUCCGUCCAGAAAUCUGUGAUUUUCUUUCAAAGUAUCGUAAUCAACACGAUAUCACUAUUUUCAGGUUCUCGCAUUCAUAUAAAAAAAUGGCUCGUGGUCUUUCAAUCGUACUUGGUUUAAUCAUUGUGAUUAACAUACUCGCCCUAUUACACAAACACGAAAAGAUCACUGAAUUAGAUGAUGUACAGCUGGAGAUUUUGCGAAAGCCUGGAGAUUUCGAUAUUCAUAAAUUGGCAAUAUUGUAUGAUAUUUACGAUACAUCUCCAGAUCGUUUGAAUGAAACAUUCCUUGAGAAUCCAGACUUGGAAAAGAAACUCGAGGCACAUUUCAUAAAAGAAGCAGUGGAUAGAUCGUUUCUAAUGAUACAAACAGCUUUAUCGACAUAUGCAGUCAUCGUACUUGAAAUGUCCAAUCAACCCAGCUCCAGAUCCGCGAAGACAGCAGUUUUUCAUGUGCUCGCUCUCCUUUAUUACAUACCUUCCCCUACAGUGCAUAACUUUUUCAUCGAUUUGUUAUCCCGGCGGUUUGCUGUAUUUU
Planococcus citri (citrus mealybug) is the source of this 885-nucleotide long non-coding RNA. RefSeq lists it as uncharacterized. The transcript is spliced from 3 exons. Lineage: Eukaryota; Metazoa; Arthropoda; Insecta; Hemiptera; Pseudococcidae. The record is from RefSeq and is a predicted model, not a curated record.